AUGUUGUAUGAGCUUCAUAAGACAGUCCUAGUAUUAACCUGCUCAUAAUACUACUAUGUAAUUCGUGCAUUACUGCUAGCCAACAUGUAUAAUAUAUA
This 98-nucleotide non-coding RNA is filed under the name Macaca fascicularis (crab-eating macaque). Its description in RNAcentral is "Mitochondrial DNA control region secondary structure A". It matches the Rfam family "Mitochondrial DNA control region secondary structure A". Lineage: Eukaryota; Metazoa; Chordata; Mammalia; Primates; Cercopithecidae. The record is from Rfam by way of RNAcentral.